CCCAGACAGCCAGGAUGUUGGCUUAGAAGCAGCCAUCAUUUAAAGAAAGCGUAAUAGCUCACUGGUCGAGUCGGCCUGCGCGGAAGAUGUAACGGGGCUAAACCAUGCACCGAAGCUGCGGCAGCGAACGUAUCACCCAAGACAACUUUGCACAGUUGACGAUUGGCGGAGCGAAGCGACGUCAAAGCGUUUUACAACGUCGAGUUGGCUUAGGGAUACGUUCGUUGGGUAGGGGAGCGUUCUGUAAGCCUGUGAAGGUGGCCUGUGAGGGUUGCUGGAGGUAUCAGAAGUGCGAAUGCUGACAUAAGUAACGAUAAAGCGGGUGAAAAGCCCGCUCGCCGGAAGACCAA
RNAcentral lists this ribosomal RNA (350 nucleotides) under Salmonella enterica subsp. enterica serovar Carrau. Its description in RNAcentral is "bacterial LSU rRNA". It matches the Rfam family "Bacterial large subunit ribosomal RNA", at positions 1084 to 1348 of the family's 2925-position model. The record is from RNAcentral. Lineage: Bacteria; Pseudomonadati; Pseudomonadota; Gammaproteobacteria; Enterobacterales; Enterobacteriaceae.